RNAcentral lists this ribosomal RNA (253 nucleotides) under uncultured bacterium. Its description in RNAcentral is "partial 16S ribosomal RNA". It matches the Rfam family "Bacterial small subunit ribosomal RNA", at positions 524 to 776 of the family's 1533-position model. The record is from RNAcentral.
UACGUAGGGGCCUAGCGUUAAUCGGAAUUACUGGGCGUAAAGCGUGCGUAGGCGGUUUGUUAAGUCUGUUGUGAAAUCCCCGGGCUCAACCUGGGAAUGGCAAUGGAUACUGGCAAGCUAGAGUGUGUCAGAGGAUGGUGGAAUUCCCGGUGUAGCGGUGAAAUGCGUAGAGAUCGGGAGGAACAUCAGUGGCGAAGGCGGCCAUCUGGGACAACACUGACGCUGAGGCACGAAAGCGUGGGGAGCAAACAGG